Eupeodes corollae is the source of this 6860-nucleotide RNA transcript. It is a transcript of the gene named myosin heavy chain, muscle, with no coding region annotated. Lineage: Eukaryota; Metazoa; Arthropoda; Insecta; Diptera; Syrphidae. The transcript has 19 exons. The record is from RefSeq and is a predicted model, not a curated record.
AAGAUCAACAGUUCUUUUCUCUCUUUUAACUUAAAUACGAUUUAUAAAAUUUAUUUUCGCUCCGUGUCGUCGGAUUUUCGAAUUGUUGGUUUUUGAUAAUUUUUUUUGAAAAAUUAAGGAUAUCGAAAAAAUAUUUAAAUCCUUUUUUAACGAUUAAGUAAUUUUCAAAAAAAAAAAAUAAAGUAAAAGUGUGUCUGAAUUUUUGAAGGAAGCAUUUGGGCAGAGAACAAACAAUACUUGACUUAAUAUCAUAUCAUAAAGUGCGAAGUCUAGCCCCAAGCUCUCUCAAGUGCUUUUGAUUAAUUUUCUUGAAGUAAAACUUAUAAAAAAAAACUUAAAGAAAAAUGCCGAAACCACAAGCCAGCCAAGAGGAUGAUGAUCCCACCCCAUACUUGUUUGUUUCUUUGGAACAAAGACGUAUCGAUCAAUCGAAACCAUAUGACUCGAAGAAGAAUUGCUGGAUUCCCGAUGAGAAAGAGGGUUAUCUCUUGGGAGAAAUCAAGGCUACCAAGGGUGACAUUGUCAGCGUUGGUUUGCCCGGUGGAGAGACAAGAGAUUUAAAGAAAGAUCUGCUCCAACAAGUGAAUCCACCAAAAUACGAAAAAGCCGAAGAUAUGUCAAAUUUGACAUACCUUAACGAUGCCUCUGUUUUGCAUAACUUGAGGCAGCGAUACUACCAUAAGUUGAUCUACACAUACUCAGGUCUUUUCUGUGUUGCCAUCAAUCCUUACAAGCGUUACCCCGUAUAUACCAACCGUUGCGCUAAGAUGUACCGUGGUAAGCGUCGUAAUGAAGUGCCACCACAUAUUUUCGCCAUUUCUGAUGGUGCCUACGUCGCCAUGUUAACCGACCACGUUAAUCAAUCUAUGUUGAUUACUGGAGAGUCUGGUGCCGGAAAGACUGAAAACACGAAGAAGGUAAUUGCCUACUUCGCAACUGUUGGUGCAUCAAAGAAGGAUGACUCCCAAAAGAACAAGGGUUCCCUUGAAGAUCAAGUUGUCCAAACUAAUCCUGUUCUUGAAGCCUUUGGUAACGCUAAGACCGUCCGUAAUGAUAACUCUUCUCGUUUCGGUAAGUUCAUCCGUAUUCACUUUGGACCAACUGGUAAACUUGCUGGUGCUGAUAUUGAAACUUAUCUGUUGGAGAAGGCUCGUGUCAUCUCUCAACAAUCAUUGGAACGUUCUUACCACAUUUUCUACCAGAUCAUGUCUGGUUCCGUUGCUGGAGUUAAAGCCAUGUGCUUCCUGUCAGACAAUAUUUACGAUUACGUUAACGUAUCGCAAGGUAAAAUCACUGUACCAAACAUGGAUGACGGUGAGGAAUUCUCUUUGACAGAUCAAGCUUUCGAUAUCUUGGGUUUCACUAAACAAGAAAAGGAAGAUGUCUACAAAAUUACCGCUGCUGUUAUGCACAUGGGUGGCAUGAAAUUCAAGCAAAGGGGUCGCGAAGAACAAGCUGAACAAGAUGGUCAAGAAGAAGGUGAACGUGUUGCUAAGCUUUUGGGUUGUGAUGUAACCGAUUUGUACAAGAACUUGUUGAAACCACGUAUUAAGGUCGGUAACGAGUUCGUCACCCAAGGUCGUAACGUCCAACAAGUAACCAACUCCAUUGGUGCCUUGUGUAAGGGUGUUUUCGAUCGUCUCUUCAAAUGGUUGGUCAAGAAGUGUAACGAAACUUUGGACACAAAACAAAAACGCCAGCACUUCAUUGGUGUACUGGAUAUUGCUGGUUUCGAAAUUUUCGACUACAACGGCUUCGAACAAUUGUGUAUUAACUUCACCAACGAAAAAUUGCAACAAUUCUUCAACCAUCACAUGUUCGUUUUGGAACAAGAAGAAUACAAGAGGGAAGGUAUCGACUGGGCCUUCAUUGAUUUCGGCAUGGAUCUUCUCGCCUGUAUUGAUUUGAUUGAGAAGCCUAUGGGUAUCUUGUCCAUCCUUGAAGAAGAAUCUAUGUUCCCCAAGGCAACUGAUCAAACAUUCGCUGAAAAGUUGACCAACACCCAUUUGGGUAAGUCAGCUCCAUUCCAAAAACCAAAACCACCAAAGCCCGGUCAACAAGCUGCUCACUUUGCUAUUGGCCAUUAUGCUGGUUGUGUAUCAUACAACAUCACCGGUUGGUUGGAAAAGAACAAGGAUCCAUUGAACGACACCGUUGUUGACCAGUUCAAGAAGUCUGGCAACAAAUUGUUGAUUGAAAUCUUCGCUGAUCAUCCAGGUCAAUCUGGUGGCGGUGAACAAGCUAAGGGAGGUCGUGGUAAGAAGGGUGGUGGUUUCGCUACUGUCUCUUCAGCCUACAAAGAACAAUUGAACAGCUUGAUGACAACAUUGCGUUCAACACAACCUCACUUCGUGCGUUGUAUUAUUCCCAACGAAAUGAAACAACCUGGUGUUGUAGAUGCUCAUUUGGUUAUGCAUCAAUUGACAUGUAACGGUGUACUUGAAGGUAUCCGUAUUUGUCGUAAAGGUUUCCCCAACAGGAUGAACUACCCUGACUUCAAGAUGCGGUACCAAAUCCUUUGCCCCGCACAAAUCAAAGAUCAGCCUGAUCCUAAAAAGGCCGCUAAGAUCAUUCUUGAGUCAACUGAACUCGAUGCUGAUUUUUACCGUCUUGGACACACCAAGGUGUUCUUCCGUGCUGGUGUCCUGGGUCAAAUGGAAGAGUUCCGUGAUGAACGUCUUGGUAAGAUCAUGUCCUGGAUGCAAGGUUGGGCCCGUGGUUACUUGGCUCGUAAGGGCUUCAAGAAACUACAAGAGCAACGUGUUGCCCUUAAGGUUGUCCAACGUAACUUGCGUAAAUACUUGCAAUUGCGCACAUGGCCAUGGUACAAAUUGUGGCAGAAGGUUAAGCCUCUUCUUAACGUCAGCCGUGUUGAAGAUGAAAUUGCCAGGCUCGAAGAGAAGGCAAAGAAGGCUGAAGAAGCUUUGGGAGCUGAAGUUAAGGUCCGCAAGGAGUUGGAAGGCCUCAACGCUAAGUUGUUGGCUGAAAAGACUGCCCUUUUGGAUUCAUUGUCAGGAGAAAAGGGUGCCCUUCAAGAUUUCCAAGAAAGGUGUGCCAAGCUUACUGCCCAAAAGAACGACCUCGAAAACCAAUUGCGCGACAUUCAAGAACGUUUGUCCCAAGAGGAAGAUGCCCGCAACCAACUCUUCCAACAAAAGAAGAAGGCCGACCAAGAGAUCUCCGGCUUGAAGAAGGAUAUUGAAGAUUUGGAAUUGUCCACCCAAAAGGGAGAACAAGACAAGGCUACCAAGGAUCACCAAAUCCGCAGCUUGAACGAUGAGAUUGCCCACCAAGAUGAACUCAUCAACAAGUUGAACAAGGAAAAGAAAAUGCAAGGAGAGACCAACCAAAAGACUGGUGAAGAACUCCAAGCUGCCGAAGACAAGAUCAACCAUUUGAACAAGGUUAAGGCUAAGUUGGAGCAAACAUUGGACGAACUCGAAGAUUCAUUGGAACGUGAGAAGAAAUUGCGCGGUGAUGUUGAGAAAUCCAAACGUAAGGUUGAAGGUGACUUGAAAUUGACCCAAGAAGCCGUAUCAGAUUUGGAACGCAACAAAAAGGAACUCGAACAAACAAUCCAACGCAAGGACAAGGAACUCUCAUCAUUGACUGCUAAAUUGGAAGAUGAACAAUCGGUUGUUGGUAAAUUGCAAAGACAAAUCAAGGAAUUGCAAGCCCGUAUCGAAGAAUUGGAAGAAGAAGUCGAAGCUGAGCGUCAAGCUCGUGCUAAGGCCGAGAAACAACGUGCUGAUUUGGCUCGCGAAUUGGAGGAAUUGGGUGAACGUCUUGAAGAGGCUGGUGGUGCUACAUCAGCUCAAAUUGAAUUGAACAAGAAACGUGAAGCUGAAUUGAGCAAAUUGCGUCGUGACUUGGAAGAGGCUAACAUUCAACACGAAUCUACAUUGGCUAACUUGCGCAAGAAGCACAACGACUCUGUUGCUGAAAUGGCUGAACAAGUUGAUCAAUUGAACAAAUUGAAGGCUAAGGCUGAAAAGGAGAAGGCCCAAUACUACGGUGAAUUGAAUGACCUCCGCGCCGGUGUUGAUCAUCUCGCAAACGAGAAGGCUGCCCAAGAAAAGAUUGCCAAGCAAUUGCAACACACCCUCAACGAAGUACAAUCGAAAUUGGACGAAACCAACAGGACUCUCAACGAUUUCGAUGCCUCAAAGAAGAAGCUCUCCAUCGAGAACUCCGACUUGUUGCGUCAAUUGGAAGAAGCCGAAUCACAAGUAUCACAAUUGUCCAAGAUCAAGAUUUCCCUUACCACCCAGCUCGAAGACACCAAGAGGUUGGCCGAUGAAGAAGGUCGCGAACGUGCCACACUUUUGGGUAAAUUCCGUAACUUGGAACACGAUUUGGACAACCUCCGCGAACAAGUUGAAGAGGAAGCAGAAGGCAAGGCUGACUUGCAACGUCAACUCAGCAAGGCUAAUGCCGAAUCACAAAUCUGGCGCAGCAAAUACGAGUCUGAUGGUGUCGCACGCUCAGAAGAAUUGGAAGAAGCCAAGAGGAAGCUCCAAGCUCGUUUGGCCGAAGCCGAAGAGACCAUCGAAUCACUCAACCAAAAAUGUGUUGCACUCGAGAAGACCAAGCAACGCCUGUCUACCGAAGUCGAAGACUUGCAAUUGGAAGUUGACCGUGCCAGCGCUAUUGCCAAUGCUGCUGAAAAGAAACAGAAGGCAUUCGACAAGAUUAUUGGAGAAUGGAAACUCAAGGUCGACGAUUUGGCCGCCGAGUUGGAUGCAUCACAAAAGGAAUGCCGCAACUACUCCACCGAAUUGUUCCGUCUCAAGGGAGCCUACGAAGAAGGCCAGGAACAACUUGAAGCCGUCCGUCGUGAAAACAAGAACCUCGCUGAUGAAGUUAAGGACUUGCUCGACCAAAUUGGUGAAGGUGGCCGCAACAUCCAUGAAAUUGAAAAGGCACGCAAACGUCUUGAAGCUGAAAAGGAUGAACUCCAAGCUGCUCUUGAAGAAGCUGAAGCUGCUUUGGAACAAGAAGAAAACAAGGUUCUCCGUGCUCAACUUGAGUUGUCUCAAGUACGUCAAGAAAUUGACCGUCGUAUCCAAGAAAAGGAAGAAGAAUUCGAAAACACCCGCAAGAACCACCAACGCGCCCUCGACUCCAUGCAAGCAUCUUUGGAAGCCGAAGCCAAGGGUAAGGCUGAGGCCCUUCGCAUGAAGAAGAAGUUGGAAGCUGACAUCAACGAACUUGAAAUUGCUUUGGAUCAUGCCAACAAGGCUAACGCCGAGGCCCAAAAGAACAUCAAACGUUACCAACAACAACUCAAGGACAUCCAAACUGCCCUCGAGGAAGAACAACGUGCACGUGAUGAUGCCCGCGAACAACUUGGAAUCUCUGAACGUCGUGCUAACGCCCUCCAGAACGAGCUUGAAGAAUCUCGUACUCUUCUUGAACAAGCUGACCGUGGCCGCAGACAAGCCGAACAAGAAUUGGCCGAUGCCCACGAACAACUCAACGAAAUUUCAGCCCAAAACGCAUCCAUUUCCGCCGCCAAGAGGAAGUUGGAAUCCGAACUUCAGACACUCCACUCCGAUUUGGAUGAAUUGUUGAAUGAAGCCAAGAACUCCGAAGAGAAGGCCAAGAAGGCUAUGGUUGAUGCUGCCCGUCUUGCUGAUGAACUCCGCGCUGAACAAGAUCACGCACAAACACAAGAAAAACUCAGGAAAGCACUUGAACAACAAAUCAAGGAAUUGCAAGUCCGAUUGGAUGAGGCUGAAGCCAACGCCCUUAAGGGAGGCAAGAAGGCCAUCCAAAAAUUGGAACAACGUGUCCGCGAAUUGGAGAACGAAUUGGACGGUGAACAAAGGAGACACGCCGAUGCCCAAAAGAACCUCCGCAAAUCAGAGCGCCGCAUUAAGGAAUUGUCCUUCCAGUCUGAAGAGGACCGCAAGAACCACGAACGCAUGCAAGACUUGGUAGAUAAAUUGCAACAAAAGAUUAAGACAUACAAGAGGCAGAUCGAAGAAGCUGAAGAGAUCGCUGCCUUGAACUUGGCCAAAUUCCGUAAGGCUCAACAAGAAUUGGAAGAAGCCGAAGAACGUGCAGAUUUGGCCGAACAAGCAAUCAGCAAAUUCCGUGCAAAGGGACGUGCUGGUUCAGUCGGUCGUGGUGGAAGCCCAGCGCUAACAACGCCUAAGAGUGGCCGCAAGAGUGCGCUGGAACUAUAAAUAACUCACAAAAUUUCUCAUUCAACACUCUCUUUCUCUCUCUUUCAUUACAUUUCCCCGAGCGUCCGUUAGGCCACAACUUGACGGUUUGGCUUUCCCACCCAGAUUCGACCUUGCUCCAGAAAACGAAUUUUAAAUGCCAUUUAAUUUAUUUAUAAUUAAUUAAUUAUGUUAAUUUUAACAAAAAGAAAAAUAUUUUAAUUAUUUUUUCUAGUAUUUUUCAAUUUUAUUCUUUAAUUUUGAUUUUAAUUCUGAUUUUGUUUUUGAAUAAAGUAACUUCGAACGACGGGAAAACCAACAAAAAAUUAAUAAUUUUUUAUGCACAUUAAAAACAAACGACAUUUACAUAAAUCAAAAAUAAAAACGUUUUCGUUGACAAAAAAAAAAGGCUAUUUUACCUAAACCUAUGUAUUUAUUAUUUUUAUACGAUCAAACCCGUCAUCUUAAAAAUUAACUAGGACUUGUCGUCGUCGAUGGGAGAGCAUACAUCAACAUAUUUUUAUUUCUUAUUUUUAUUUAUAUGUAAAAGAAACAAAACAAAAACACACACAACACUAAUGGAGCUUAUGUUACAUUAUUAUUUUUAAUUUAUCGAAAAUACUUUAUUUAAUUUAUAAAAUAAAAAAUAUACAAAAAAGGAACAAAAUAAAUGUAAAUCAAUAAAAAAAA